AAGACUAUAGACCUGCGGAGUACCUGCGGAGGGAUCAUUACAUGGCGGAGGAGGUGGGCACCUAGUAAAAACAAAACCCUAGGUGUGUUGCCUACCACGCUUUCUACCCUUGUCUAUUUGCACCUUUUGUCGUUCCCUCGGUGGGUCUUGAACCUGCCGGCGGCAACUUUCAAAAACCUUUUGUAGUUAGUAUCUAAUUCUUCUGAUCAAAUAUUCAAUCGUUACAACUUUCAACAAUGG
RNAcentral lists this unclassified non-coding RNA (240 nucleotides) under soil metagenome. Its description in RNAcentral is "partial contains 5.8S ribosomal RNA, internal transcribed spacer 2, and large subunit ribosomal RNA". The record is from RNAcentral.